RNAcentral lists this ribosomal RNA (2892 nucleotides) under Bacillus velezensis AS43.3. RNAcentral's name for it is "bacterial LSU rRNA". It matches the Rfam family "Bacterial large subunit ribosomal RNA". Lineage: Bacteria; Bacillati; Bacillota; Bacilli; Caryophanales; Bacillaceae. The record is from RNAcentral.
CGGUUAAGUUAGAAAGGGCGCACGGUGGAUGCCUUGGCACUAGGAGCCGAUGAAGGACGGGACGAACACCGAUAUGCUUCGGGGAGCUGUAAGCAAGCUUUGAUCCGGAGAUUUCCGAAUGGGGAAACCCACCACUCGUAAUGGAGUGGUAUCCAUAUCUGAAUACAUAGGAUAUGAGAAGGCAGACCCGGGGAACUGAAACAUCUAAGUACCCGGAGGAAGAGAAAGCAAAUGCGAUUCCCUGAGUAGCGGCGAGCGAAACGGGACCAGCCCAAACCAAGAGGCUUGCCUCUUGGGGUUGUAGGACACUCUGUACGGAGUUACAAAGGAACGAGGUAGAUGAAGAGGUCUGGAAAGGCCCGCCAUAGGAGGUAACAGCCCUGUAGUCAAAACUUCGUUCUCUCCUGAGUGGAUCCUGAGUACGGCGGAACACGUGAAAUUCCGUCGGAAUCCGGGAGGACCAUCUCCCAAGGCUAAAUACUCCCUAGUGACCGAUAGUGAACCAGUACCGUGAGGGAAAGGUGAAAAGCACCCCGGAAGGGGAGUGAAAGAGAUCCUGAAACCGUGUGCCUACAAGUAGUCAGAGCCCGUUAACGGGUGAUGGCGUGCCUUUUGUAGAAUGAACCGGCGAGUUACGAUCCCGUGCAAGGUUAAGCAGAAGAUGCGGAGCCGCAGCGAAAGCGAGUCUGAAUAGGGCGAAUUGAGUACGUGGUCGUAGACCCGAAACCAGGUGAUCUACCCAUGUCCAGGGUGAAGUUCAGGUAACACUGAAUGGAGGCCCGAACCCACGCACGUUGAAAAGUGCGGGGAUGAGGUGUGGGUAGGGGUGAAAUGCCAAUCGAACCUGGAGAUAGCUGGUUCUCUCCGAAAUAGCUUUAGGGCUAGCCUCAAGGUAAGAGUCUCGGAGGUAGAGCACUGAUUGGACUAGGGGCCCCUACCGGGUUACCGAAUUCAGUCAAACUCCGAAUGCCGAUGACUUAUCCUUGGGAGUCAGACUGCGAGUGAUAAGAUCCGUAGUCGAAAGGGAAACAGCCCAGACCGCCAGCUAAGGUCCCAAAGUAUACGUUAAGUGGAAAAGGAUGUGGAGUUGCUUAGACAACCAGGAUGUUGGCUUAGAAGCAGCCACCAUUUAAAGAGUGCGUAAUAGCUCACUGGUCGAGUGACUCUGCGCCGAAAAUGUACCGGGGCUAAACGUAUCACCGAAGCUGCGGACUGUUCUUCGAACAGUGGUAGGAGAGCGUUCUAAGGGCUGUGAAGCAAGACCGGAAGGACUUGUGGAGCGCUUAGAAGUGAGAAUGCCGGUAUGAGUAGCGAAAGAGGGGUGAGAAUCCCCUCCACCGAAUGCCUAAGGUUUCCUGAGGAAGGCUCGUCCGCUCAGGGUUAGUCGGGACCUAAGCCGAGGCCGAAAGGCGUAGGCGAUGGACAACAGGUUGAUAUUCCUGUACCACCUCCUCACCAUUUGAGCAAUGGGGGGACGCAGGAGGAUAGGGUAAGCGCGGUAUUGGAUAUCCGCGUCCAAGCAGUUAGGCUGGGAAAUAGGCAAAUCCGUUUCCCGUGAAGGCUGAGCUGUGAUGGCGAGCGAAUUAUAGUAGCGAAGUUCCUGAUUCCACACUGCCAAGAAAAGCCUCUAGCGAGGUGAGAGGUGCCCGUACCGCAAACCGACACAGGUAGGCGAGGAGAGAAUCCUAAGGUGAUCGAGAGAACUCUCGUUAAGGAACUCGGCAAAAUGACCCCGUAACUUCGGGAGAAGGGGUGCUCUGUUAGGGUGCAAGCCCGAGAGAGCCGCAGUGAAUAGGCCCAGGCGACUGUUUAGCAAAAACACAGGUCUCUGCGAAGCCGUAAGGCGAAGUAUAGGGGCUGACGCCUGCCCGGUGCUGGAAGGUUAAGAGGAGCGCUUAGCGUAAGCGAAGGUGCGAAUUGAAGCCCCAGUAAACGGCGGCCGUAACUAUAACGGUCCUAAGGUAGCGAAAUUCCUUGUCGGGUAAGUUCCGACCCGCACGAAAGGCGCAACGAUCUGGCACUGUCUCAACGAGAGACUCGGUGAAAUUAUAGUACCUGUGAAGAUGCAGGGGAAAGACCCCGUGGAGCUUUACUGCAGCCUGAUAUUGAAUGUUGGUACAGCUUGUACAGGAUAGGUAGGAGCCUUGGAAACCGGAGCGCCAGCUUCGGUGGAGGCAUCGGUGGGAUACUACCCUGGCUGUAUUGACCUUCUAACCCGCCGCCCUUAUCGGGCGGGGAGACAGUGUCAGGUGGGCAGUUUGACUGGGGCGGUCGCCUCCUAAAAGGUAACGGAGGCGCCCAAAGGUUCCCUCAGAAUGGUUGGAAAUCAUUCGCAGAGUGUAAAGGCACAAGGGAGCUUGACUGCGAGACCUACAAGUCGAGCAGGGACGAAAGUCGGGCUUAGUGAUCCGGUGGUUCCGCAUGGAAGGGCCAUCGCUCAACGGAUAAAAGCUACCCCGGGGAUAACAGGCUUAUCUCCCCCAAGAGUCCACAUCGACGGGGCUCAUCGCAUCCUGGGGCUGUAGUCGGUCCCAAGGGUUGGGCUGUUCGCCCAUUAAAGCGGUACGCGAGCUGGGUUCAGAACGUCGUGAGACAGUUCGGUCCCUAUCCGUCGCGGGCGCAGGAAAUUUGAGAGGAGCUGUCCUUAGUACGAGAGGACCGGGAUGGACGCACCGCUGGUGUACCAGUUGUUCUGCCAAGGGCAUCGCUGGGUAGCUAUGUGCGGACGGGAUAAGUGCUGAAAGCAUCUAAGCAUGAAGCCCCCCUCAAGAUGAGAUUUCCCAUUCCGCAAGGAAGUAAGAUCCCUGAAAGAUGAUCAGGUUGAUAGGUCUGAGGUGGAAGUGUGGCGACACAUGGAGCUGACAGAUACUAAUCGAUCGAGGACUUAACCAA